This 269-nucleotide long non-coding RNA is filed under the name Homo sapiens (human). RNAcentral describes it as "non-protein coding lnc-NETO1-2:1". The record is from RNAcentral. Lineage: Eukaryota; Metazoa; Chordata; Mammalia; Primates; Hominidae.
GCAGAAAUUACACUGGGCUGACUGUGGACCCAGUCUCCAAGAUGAUUGGCCACUUCUACUUUCUUUUUCAUGGAAAGUUCACCACAGGCGAAUGCCAUGGAAGGAUCCCAACUGUACCAGCACAGUCAUGCCUUGAGGAAGUUCAAACUAGCCACAUAGACAGAUUAUGGGGAAGCAGCUCAUCCCCUGCGGUUCUAGCCAUCUCUGCCAAGGUGCCAAAUAUAGUUGACAGGAAGCUGUGUUCCAGACACAUGUAGCCAAAAACACAG